UUCACUGUGGAUUUGAAACAUUUACCUUCAUCACUGGAUUCAUCGCUGGAGAAGACGAUUGCUGCCUUCUUAGAAACUACCUUUCUGGUUCUUGGACGCUGUUUAGCGGUGCCCCGGGGCUGAGGCGUAACAAAGUCACUGUCUGAGAGUUAACAUGACACUAAAUUAAAGGAAAAGUUGGGAACAAAAUCCUCAUCUCCUACUCCAGGAUUAUUUCUAAAUGACAAUGUAAGCCUUCAGUAGAGAAGACACAGAGUUCAAAAUCAGGGAUCUUUUUGAAUAUGAAGAACCAGCAUGUCCAAACUGAACUCUUCAUCUCCUCCAUUCUCACAACAUCUAGGAGCUGGAAGGAAUCUCAAAGGAGUUUAAGUUCUACCCAUGUCGAACAAGGCUUUUCUCCCACUCCAAACAACUGGUCAUCUGGCAUUCACUUCAAGAUAUUCUACGAAAGCAAACCUGUGACUUUUUAAAGCAGCCAAUUCCACAUCUGAAUAACUUUAAUAAAUAGAAGCCUUUCCUUAUUUAAAGUCUAAAUUGGUCUCUUUGCAACUUCUACUCAUUUCUAGUUCUGCAUUGGAGGCCAAACCAAACAAUUAUGAUCCCUCUUGUUGUUUCACUCAGGCAUAAAACGUUGGGAGUCAUCUUUGACUCUUUCUUUUCCACUUUAAUUACCAAAUCUGCCUUUUGAUUGAAAUGUCCAAUAUUCUUU
Molecule: long non-coding RNA, 709 nt
Organism: Sarcophilus harrisii (Tasmanian devil)
Lineage: Eukaryota; Metazoa; Chordata; Mammalia; Dasyuromorphia; Dasyuridae
Exons: 3
Source: RefSeq, a predicted model, not a curated record